This 807-nucleotide long non-coding RNA is filed under the name Mytilus galloprovincialis (Mediterranean mussel). The record is from RNAcentral. Lineage: Eukaryota; Metazoa; Mollusca; Bivalvia; Mytilida; Mytilidae.
AUUGAGGUCUAUAGGGUCUAAAAUUGAACAUUAUUUAAUUUCAUCAAAAAUUGAAUUCUUGGGGGUUCUAUGAUAUGCUGAAUCUAACCAUAUAUUUAGAUUGGAUUUGGACCAUAAUAGGUAAAUGUCCAUUUAAAAAAUUUUUAAGUUUUUAAGUUAAAGUUCUUAGACCACAUUCAUUCUGUGUCAGAAACCUAUGUUGUGUCCAUACUUGCCCAACCUCUGCAGUCAUAUAAAGCUGUGCCCUGCGGAGCAUCUGGUUGUUUUAUAUAUUUAUUACAGGGUAUUUGUUUAUAAAUAGGAAUAUUUCACAUUUCCCCCCAAAUUGUAAUAAGCAAUUACAGUGAUGUUUACCAAUGAAAUCUGGGACAAUAAAUCACUCAGAAAAUAGUUUGUCUUAUAGUUCAUCCUAAACCCUGUGAAAGUAUUAUUUGAAUACAGGAUAAAUAUUUUCUUUGAUCCCCCCCCCCUUUUCAACAAAAUAGAAUAAGUACACAGUGACAUGCUUAUUUGCUACUUAGUCCCAUUGUGUUUAUUUUAAAACCAGUUUAUAGCCAUUUCCCCAACAAACCAUCUUUUCACAGAACACAGACAUUUGUACCUAUGGUUUCAAAGAUUUGUCCAUCCUGAGUGCACAGGAAUUUAUUUUGGGGGUUUGUAAGGGAAAAGGACAAAAAAAAUGUUCCCAUCCAUUAUUAUCUUAGUUGUUAUUAAAAAUGAAAGUUUGUGUAAAAGCUAUGAUGAUAUGAGAAUAUGGAAUGACACAAAAAUGGCAACUUCUUUAUAAAUAUAACUUUUUUUUCAAAG